Small RNA from Firmicutes bacterium CAG:424, 50 nucleotides. It matches the Rfam family "Streptococcus sRNA SpF59 (ldcC RNA)". The record is from Rfam. Lineage: Bacteria; Bacillati; Bacillota.
UGACCAUCCGAAAGGAUUAAGGCCAUACGGACAGCCGGGUCAACUGCCGA